Molecule: ribosomal RNA, 463 nt
Filed under: Prevotella sp. oral taxon G57
Lineage: Bacteria; Pseudomonadati; Bacteroidota; Bacteroidia; Bacteroidales; Prevotellaceae
Description: bacterial SSU rRNA
Rfam family: Bacterial small subunit ribosomal RNA
Source: RNAcentral
GAUGAACGCUGGCUACAGGCUUAACACAUGCAAGUCGAGGGGAAACGGCAUUUGGUGCUUGCACCGAAUGGACGUCGACCGGCGCACGGGUGAGUAACGCGUAUCCAACCUUCCCGUUACUGCGGGAUAACCUGCCGAAAGGCAGACUAAUACCGCAUGUUCUUCGAUGACGGCAUCAGAUUCGAAGCAAAGAUCCGUCGGUAACGGAGGGGGAUGCGUCUGAUUAGCUAGUUGGCGGGGCGACGGCCCACCAAGGCGACGAUCAGUAGGGGUUCUGAGAGGAAGGUCCCCCACAUUGGAACUGAGACACGGUCCAAACUCCUACGGGAGGCAGCAGUGAGGAAUAUUGGUCAAUGGGCGGAAGCCUGAACCAGCCAAGUAGCGUGCAGGAUGACGGCCCUACGGGUUGUAAACUGCUUUUAUGCGGGGAUAAAGUGAGGGACGCGUCCCUUUUUGCAGGUAC